AAAAUUCGUUUUUUAUUUAUAAUAAUUAACCAAAAUAAAGUUUUUUUAUAGUUUUAACUUUUUUUUUCCAGUUCCGUAAGGGAAUUAAAAUUUUUUUAAAGAAUAGGUUAAAUAUUUUACCUUUUGUAUCAUGGUUAAGCAAAGGAAUUUUUUUAUUUUUUUUCUAGAAAGAAAAAGGUUACUUAGAAGAUGUUUUUAGAACUAAGAGCAAAUUAUUUCAAUAAUUUCUUUUUACUUUUAAGUUGUAAUGAGAUGUUUCGUUCUUUUCUUAUAGCUAGUUGUCUUUUGAAUCUUCUUAGAGUUUUAAAAGAAGGGUAAGCUUUCUUUUUAUAAAUAACAUUUUCAGUAGAUUAAAAUUUAAGAAUGAAAGUUUUUUUAAUUUAAUAAUGUGUUAUAACUUAUUUAGUUUUUUCGUUGUUUUUAUUUUUUUGAGACUCUUUAAGAAUUUUCUUGUUAAAAUAAAUAAUGCUUAAAUUAGCAUAUUGUUUUUUUUUUCUUUAUGAACUCGGCAAUAAAGAGUCUGACUGUUUUCAAAAACAUAGUCUUUUGGUUUUUUAUGAAAGAUGAUUUCUGCUCAAUGAUGUUUAUAAAUAGCCGCGGUAAUUUGACCGUGCAAAGGUAGCAUAAUCAUUUGCCUCAUAAUUGGGGGCUGGAAUGAAUGGAAUAACAAGAUUCUUGCUUUAUUAAGGAAAUAAAUAAAAUUUGCUUUUUUAGUGAAGAAGCUAAAAUUUAAAUGUAGGACAAGAAGACCCUUUUGAGUUUUAUUAAUCUUUUUUUUUUUAAAUUCGAUUAAUUUGGUUGGGGCGACCAAGGAAAAGAUGGAUCUUCCUUAUGAAUUUUGAUCCAAAGUUAUUGAUAAACAGAAUAAACUACCAAAGGGAUAACAGCGUAAUUUUUUUUGUGAGUUCUUAUUAAAAAAAAAGAUUGCGACCUCGAUGUUGACUUAUAGUUUCCUUUUGGUGCAGCCGCUAACAAGGUAGGUCUGUUCGACCUUUAAAACUUUACGUGAGUCUGAGUUCAGACCGGCGUGAGCCAGGUUGGUUUCUAUCUUCAUUAUUUUAUUAAGUCUCCUAGUACGAAAGGAUUGGAUUGGCUUUUUUAUGCUUCG
Molecule: ribosomal RNA, 1108 nt
Filed under: Emplectonema gracile
Lineage: Eukaryota; Metazoa; Nemertea; Enopla; Monostilifera; Emplectonematidae
Description: 16S ribosomal RNA
Rfam family: Bacterial large subunit ribosomal RNA (bases 709-1108)
Source: RNAcentral